GACGAGGGGCACAAACGUUAUUCGGAUUUACUGGGCUUAAAGCGUGCGUAGGCGGCUUGGCAAGUUGGGUGUGAAAUCCCUCGGCUCAACCGAGGAACUGCGCCCAAAACUACCGUGCUCGAGGAAGAUAGAGGUGAGCGGAACUUACGGUGGAGCGGUGAAAUGCGUUGAUAUCGUAAGGAACACCCGUGGCGAAAGCGGCUCACUGGGUCUUCUCUGACGCUGAUGCACGAAAGCUAGGGGAGCAAACGGG
This 253-nucleotide ribosomal RNA is filed under the name uncultured bacterium. RNAcentral's name for it is "partial 16S ribosomal RNA". It matches the Rfam family "Bacterial small subunit ribosomal RNA", at positions 524 to 776 of the family's 1533-position model. The record is from RNAcentral.